This 602-nucleotide ribosomal RNA is filed under the name Porrostoma sp. UPOL A00036. RNAcentral describes it as "partial 16S ribosomal RNA". It matches the Rfam family "Bacterial large subunit ribosomal RNA", at positions 1816 to 2714 of the family's 2925-position model. Lineage: Eukaryota; Metazoa; Arthropoda; Insecta; Coleoptera; Lycidae. The record is from RNAcentral. RNAcentral also lists the same sequence under 1 other name.
CAUGUCCUUUUGAUAAUAAUUUAAGGUCUGAUCUGCUCAAUGAUAUUUAAAUUGCCGCAGUAUUUUGACUGUGCAAAGGUAGCAUAAUAAUUAGUUUCUUGAUUAGGAACUGGAAUGAAUGAUUGGACAAGAAAAUUUCUGUCUCUUUUUUAAUUUUUUUGAAUUUUAUUUUUAAGUGAAAAAGCUUAAAUUUUUAUAAAAGACGAGAAGACCCUAUAGAGUUUAAUAUUUUUAUUUAAUUUAAUGUUAGAAUUAUCUUUUAGAUAAAUUUAUUUAGUUGGGGUGAUUUAAAGAUUAAUAAAAUUCUUUAAAAGUUUAAUUGAUGAUUUUUAAAUUUUAAAUCUAUAGUUUAUAAAACUAAAAUUAAUUACCUUAGGGAUAACAGCGUAAUUUUUCUUAAAAGUUCAUAUUAAAAGGAAAGUUUGCGACCUCGAUGUUGGAUUAAAAUAAAUUUUUGGUGCAAUAACUUAAAAAUUAGGUCUGUUCGACCUUUAAAAUUUUACAUGAUCUGAGUUUAAACCGGUGUAAACCAGGUUGGAUUCUAUCUUUAGAAAGUUAAUAUAUUUUAGUACGAAAGGACCAAAUAUAUGUUAAAUUAAUUG